UACGUAGGGGGCGAGCGUUGUUCGGAUUUACUGGGCGUAAAGAGCGCGUAGGUGGUUCGAUAAGUCGGAGGUGAAAUCCCUCGGCUCAACCGAGGAUCCGCGUCCGAUACUGUCGGACUUGAGUGCAGGAGAGGAGAGCGGAAUUCCCAGUGUAGCGGUGAAAUGCGUAGAUAUUGGGAGGAACACCGGUGGCGAAGGCGGCUCUCUGGACUGCUACUGACACUGAGGCGCGAAAGCUAGGGGAGCAAAC
This 250-nucleotide ribosomal RNA is filed under the name uncultured bacterium. RNAcentral describes it as "partial 16S ribosomal RNA". It matches the Rfam family "Bacterial small subunit ribosomal RNA", at positions 524 to 773 of the family's 1533-position model. The record is from RNAcentral.